ACUGAUGAGGGUGAUUACAACAUCAAAUUACGUAAUUUGAUUAAUUUCCUGGAUGAGGGCGACAAGGUAAAAGUUACUCUAAGAUUUAGAGGUCGUGAAAUGGCACACCAAGAGUUUGGUGUUCGUCUUUUGGAACGAGUAAAAGAUGAUCUUCAAGAACAUGCGAUUGUAGAGCAAUUUCCCAGACUAGAGGGUAGGCAAAUGGUGAUGGUGUUGUCACCCAAAAAGAAAGAAAUAAAAAAAAGUAAAUAGAAAGAGUUAAAGCAAGAAAAUAAAGUUUGAACAGCUAUAAUAUCUACGUGAGCAUACUAAUCAUCCAAGUUAUCUGAUUGGA
RNAcentral lists this unclassified non-coding RNA (334 nucleotides) under Nitrosomonas sp. Nm33. RNAcentral's name for it is "Long range pseudoknot". Lineage: Bacteria; Pseudomonadati; Pseudomonadota; Betaproteobacteria; Nitrosomonadales; Nitrosomonadaceae. The record is from RNAcentral.